RNAcentral lists this ribosomal RNA (293 nucleotides) under uncultured bacterium. Its description in RNAcentral is "partial 16S ribosomal RNA". It matches the Rfam family "Bacterial small subunit ribosomal RNA", at positions 775 to 1067 of the family's 1533-position model. The record is from RNAcentral.
GGAUUAGAUACCCUGGUAGUCCACGCCGUAAACGAUGUCGACUUGGAGGUUGUGCCCUUGAGGCGUGGCUUCCGGAGCUAACGCGUUAAGUCGACCGCCUGGGGAGUACGGCCGCAAGGUUAAAACUCAAAUGAAUUGACGGGGGCCCGCACAAGCGGUGGAGCAUGUGGUUUAAUUCGAUGCAACGCGAAGAACCUUACCUACUCUUGACAUCCAGAGAACUUAGCAGAGAUGCUUUGGUGCCUUCGGGAACUCUGAGACAGGUGCUGCAUGGCUGUCGUCAGCUCGUGCCG